GGGUCAGUAGGCUGGUCGUGCCACCGGUACGUACUGGUCUCACUGAUUCCUCCUUCCUUAGGAACCGUAAUGCCAUUAAUUUGGUGUUGCGGGGAAACAGGACUGUUACUUUGAAAAAAUUAGAGUGUAUAAAGCAAGCUAACGCUUGAAUACAUUAGCAUGGAAUAAUGAAAUAGGACGAUCGAUCCUAUUUUGUUGGUUUCUAGGAUUGACGUA
Molecule: ribosomal RNA, 216 nt
Filed under: Glomeromycotina sp.
Lineage: Eukaryota; Fungi; Glomeromycota
Description: partial small subunit ribosomal RNA
Rfam family: Eukaryotic small subunit ribosomal RNA (bases 40-216)
Source: RNAcentral